CAAUAGCGUAUAUUAAAGUUGUUGCAGUUAAAAAGCUCGUAGUUGGAUUUCUGGUGGGAGCGAUCGGUCUGGCGCUUAGCGCGAGUACUUGCAUCGUCUCCGGCCAUCCUUGGGGAGAGUCUGUCUGGCAUUAAGUUGUCGGGCAGAGGAUCCUCAUCGUUUACUGUGAAAAAAUUAGAGUGUUCAAAGCAGGCUUAUGCCGUUGAAUAUAUUAGCAUGGAAUAAUAAGAUAGGACUUUGGUACUAUUUUGUUGGUUUGCGCACCAAAGUAAUGAUUAAUAGGGACAGUUGGGGGUAUUCGUAUUCCGUUGUCAGAGGUGAAAUUCUUGGAUUUAUGAAAGACGAACUACUGCGAAAGCAUUUGCCAAGGAUGUUUUCAUUAA
This 383-nucleotide ribosomal RNA is filed under the name uncultured eukaryote. RNAcentral describes it as "partial 18S ribosomal RNA". It matches the Rfam family "Eukaryotic small subunit ribosomal RNA", at positions 592 to 976 of the family's 1831-position model. The record is from RNAcentral.